CGGGGUGCAGCAGGCGCGAAAACUUUACAAUGCUGGCAACAGCGAUAAGGGGACCUCGAGUGCCAGGAUACAAUCUUGGCUGUCGUGAUGCCUAAAAAGCAUUGCAUAGCAAGGGCCGGGCAAGACCGGUGCCAGCCGCCGCGGUAACACCGGCGGCUCGAGUGGUAACCGCUAUUAUUGGGUCUAAAGGGUCUGUAGCCGGCCGGAUAAGUCUCUUGGGAAAUCCGACAGCUCAACUGUCGGGCUUUCAGGGGAUACUGUUCGGCUCGAGGCCGGGAGAGGUGAGAGGUACUUCAGGGGUAGGGGUGAAAUCUUGUACUCCUUGAAGGACCACCAGUGGCGAAGGCGUCUCACCAGAACGGUCCUGACGGCAAGGGACGAAAGCUAGGGGCACGAACCGGAUUAGAUACCCGGGUAGUCCUAGCCGUAAACGAUACUCGCUAGGUGUCGGCCACGGUGCGACCGUGGUCGGUGCCGUAGGGAAGCCGUGAAGCGAGCCACCUGGGAAGUACGGCCGCAAGGCUGAAACUUAAAGGAAUUGGCG
Molecule: ribosomal RNA, 544 nt
Filed under: uncultured archaeon
Lineage: Archaea
Description: bacterial SSU rRNA
Rfam family: Archaeal small subunit ribosomal RNA
Source: RNAcentral